This is a long non-coding RNA of Oncorhynchus masou masou (cherry salmon), 455 nucleotides long. RefSeq lists it as uncharacterized. Lineage: Eukaryota; Metazoa; Chordata; Actinopteri; Salmoniformes; Salmonidae. The record is from RefSeq and is a predicted model, not a curated record. The transcript is spliced from 3 exons.
UUGUAUGUUUGUAUGUUAACAGCAUUUAACCAAGAGCUGAAGACAUUUCAACUUUAUCAAAUAUUGUCAUGUAUAAUAAAUAUUUUAAAUAGUGUUUAACUGAAAUAGUAAGUGAAAGUAGUAGUGAAACUGAAAGUAAAUUCGACAACUGUUUUAUGUUGCUUCACACGAGACAGCUCAACAGCAGGAGAAAUGAGUUGUGAUGGCGACCAGCACACAAUGCAGUCCUCAGAUGAUGUGCUGCCCCCUCCUGGUGACAUCCAGGUCCUGUUGCUGACAUUAGAUUCUGUGUCUCUGAGCUGGAGUUCUCCUCAGGGGCUGAUAGGACCACAGACAUUCAGAGUGACCUGGGGGUGUGACAGUGAAACAAGCUCAACAAGAGUGAAAGAUGUGUAUCAUCUUAAAAUAAGCAGUCUCAAACCUGGUGAAAAGUACCAGUUCAACAUGGCUACAGA